This 46-nucleotide small RNA is filed under the name soil metagenome. RNAcentral describes it as "Acido-Lenti-1 RNA". It matches the Rfam family "Acido-Lenti-1 RNA". The record is from RNAcentral.
CCCAGCGCUUACGCGCUGGGCUAAGUUAUUCCGCCCCUUCGGGGCU